RNAcentral lists this long non-coding RNA (4470 nucleotides) under Homo sapiens (human). RNAcentral describes it as "HSALNT0076534". Lineage: Eukaryota; Metazoa; Chordata; Mammalia; Primates; Hominidae. The record is from RNAcentral.
CAAUGUCCCAAUCUCUCACUCUUGAAUUCUUUUAUCUCAAAUAGAAAGUUCCCUCUUGGCAGGACUUAGUUACAGAGUUUCUGUAACAUAGCAUGGUAUCAGUAGUUGAUGACCAUAUAAUUGCAAUUAUUGUCAUAAGAACUUCUUUAUAAUCACCACAAAAUAAUAUGCAUUCGAUCCCAAUAAGUAUGCAUUUAUCUCAUGUCACUACUGUAAUUAAGAAAUAAGACGGUGUAAGUAGCAUGCUUCAGGAUAAUUAUGGUUUUCCAGGACUGAAAAUAGUAUGAAAAACCAGGCUGCAGGCUAAAUGCCUGAAGAAAGAUAAUAAUGUCCUAGAAAUCUACCACCUGCCUUCUUAGCGUUGUUAUUUUAAGAAGGAAUUGUAAAUUUGUAUUGUGCUAAAGUACACAUAAAAUGUACCAUCUUCAUCAUUUCUAAGUAUGCAGUUCUGUGGCAUUAAGUGCAUUCACAUUGUUGUAUAACCAGCAUCACUAUUCAUCUCCAGAACUUUUCAUCAUAACAAUAUUUUUUAUUUUGAAUAAAAUCAUGCAGAUAUUAUUGAAAAAAAAGAAGGAAUUGUAAGACACCUGUGAGAGUCUAAAGUCUGACAAAAUUUGUACUCCCAAAAGUAUCAUCUGGGGAAAGUAUGACAGUACUACAUGGAUAAAAAUGGUUUAUAUAUACAACCCACUGAACCUUGAAAUAUUGCAGCUCAGAGAUAUGCAUUGAUUCAAACAAGCAGAGCUUUAUCUUUCAUAUGAAAAGGACAGGAAAGGAAAUCUUGUUCAAUGGAUGAAUUGAAGAAUAAGAUGUUCAGUAUGUGCUAAUUUCAGUAGGCCAAUUGCAGCAGGCCUUCCAAGAGGGCACCAAGGUCUGGGUGCCACUGCUUCUGGCAUCAAGCACUCUGGGCUGCCUUUAUCUUGUUGUUGGCACUUCUACCUAUGUUUCUCCCUCAACUCUCAAGGCUCUCAACUUCAUUAUAACCAAACAUAAAACAAGUCUAAACUUUCUUAUCUGUUGUAAAAAUAUACAAGCAAGCUUAUGGGCACGUUCAUAGUCUAUUCAUUAGAAACAUAAGCAGUUUUUCAUUAACCUGAUUGUCAGAUACAAUACAUAUACUCAAAAUAUGGGAAGACAUUAUCUAUGGAAUAAAUCUGUUUAAUGAUGUAUCUAAAGUUCAAGGAAAAAGGAAGGUUUAUGUAUCAAAAUGUAUAAAUCUUGAUAAUAGGGAAUUGAGUAAAUAUAAUUGAACUUUAUGGAUAAUCCUUAACUGUGGGUAAACACACUGUCAUAGUGACAAAUAGAAUGGUGGUAAAUAAAUUAGGCAACUGCUUAUCCCCCUGAGUAUUUAAUUGCAAAUUAUACAAUUAAUUGUUUUUUGUAACAUUUUGUGUUUGACUUAUGAAGCUGCUAAUAUCCAAAAUAUAAGAAGAGAAGAAAAAAGGAAAGAACAAAAUAAAAGUGAGAGGCCUUAUUUUAUCCACAAAAUAAAGCAUUACUCUCCAGGUUGAGUCAGAGUGUUUUCACUGCCAAGUCCAGAAUAGUUUCCUUGCUUUUCCUACUUGUAUGACAAAUAGAAUGGUAUUGUAAACUGUAUGAUCAUGAAUAUCAGUAGCCAGAAUAUAUUAUACAGCAUUUUUAAAUUGAAAUUAAAAAUCAUUUUUAGAGCAUACAUUUUUAGUUAAAGUACACAUUGAAUAUUUGGGUACUUAGUCCUGUGCCUUACAGUGCCUUUAAAAGUCAAAUCAUGUGCAGAAUAGUCAGAUAUUUGGUUCCUAGGAAAAAAAUGCACAAUCACAAACACAGGAUGAAACAACGUCUUUGCAGAGCAAGAAGAGAGCCACCCUGUUUUAGGGCAGCUUGCUUUGUGCUCACGCUGCAGCACAGUAUUUUUCAAGAUAGGCAUUAAAUAUUAGCAGUCGGUUUCCAUUUUUGCCUUUGUGGCUCUGAUAGCGUGCCCCUUUUCAGAAUAGUUCAUUGUGUUUAAAAAUAUGUCCAUUAGCUUGUUAAAUUAUUGAUUAUGCUUUUAGUUCUCAUAAAAUGUGAAGAUAGAUGGAAUAUAGGGAAAUACAUCCCUGAUGGCUCAUCUGAUGGGCUUUGGCAUUGUACUCACAUUUUUCUUAUAAAAGGUAAUUUUGUGUCUUUAUUUUAUUCUAAAAAUAGUCUGGAACCACACAAGGGAUAUUAAGAGUCAGACUAGGCUUAACAUUACUAAUAUGAGUGCCAGUAACACUUCUUGAUUUAAACACACAUAACUAUUGAUAAUAAUUGUAGGCAACCCAGUCUUAGGCAACUCUUCAGGCCUGGACAACUAAUAACCUGGUAAAUGUCAACAUCUAUGUUCUUAGAUAUCAAAAGUAAGGAAAGUUUGUCCAAACCUAAUAUAACUAUAUUAAUCUUUUGCUCAAUCUAAAAAUGGUUCUCAGCUUGGAGUCUACUAUUUAGAUACAUCAUUUUGUUUUUCUAAAAGUGAAACAUUCCAAUGAAUCAUUAAUUAAUGAUUGAUUGUAACAUAUUAUUUGUUGAAUGUUAAUGUUAAUUUACUUAUAUAACUUUACAAAGUGGUUUUAUGUGCACUUUUGUUGUGUUACUAGGAACUAAGAAACUAUCUUAUUUAUGAGAAAAGGAAAUGAGGAUCAAGGGUUUCAGGUGACUGUCUGAGUUUAUAUAGGGAAUUCUAGCAAAUCCAGCAUUCAAAGUAGUCAACAAGCGGAUUGCACGCUUAAUGAUUUGUUAAGAGAGUAGUUCCUAUAUUAAGUGUUAUUAACACACACACACACACACACACACGCGUGCACGCGCGCAAGCCUGGGCAUAGGAAUUCAGAAUCAAUAUUCUUUCUUAUUCCAUGGUUCUCCCAGAACUUUGGCUACAAAUUCAUCAAACUUCCGUCUAUUUUCUGCUUCAUUUUAUUCUAUUAUUUUAUUUACCUGGUGAAUUUUAUUUAUAACAACCCUAUAUUGCAACUUACGAUAUUUCCUCAUAAGCUUUUCCUAGAAUGGAUUAAAUCUAAAAUAUCACUUACAUAUUUUUACUUUUUUGGAAAUGAAAAUAAAAUUUGAUAUUUCAAUAUGUAUAUCUAUGCACACACAUGCAUGUCAGCUGAUUACUGACUCUAGACACUUUAAGAUAAUAAGUACUUAAGAGAGAAAUGAUUGUUUCACUUGGAAAGAUUUUAAUUCUCUUGCAGCACUAAAAAUAGAUGCCAAGUUUUUCACAAUGGAACACAAUAAUAGAUUUCCACUAAGAAAUGUGUUCUAUAAAUAAAAAGUAACUCUGAUCUUCCAAUUUCAAAGAGACACAUUUUAUUAAUUUAGGUAGAUGUUUCAAGAUUUAUUCCUGUAAGAACUACACUUAGAAGGAGAAAUAGGCCGGGCGCAAUGGUUCACGCCUGUAAUCCCAGCACUUUGGGAGGCUGGGCGGGCAGAUCACCCGAAGUAAGGAGUUUGAGACCAGCCUGGCCAAACCUGUGAAACCCCAUCUCUACUACAAAUACAAAAAGUAGCCGGGCCUGGUGACUAGCUCCUGCCUGUAUUCCCAGCUACUCAGGAGGCUGAGGCAGAAGAAUUGCUUCAACGCUGGAGGCAGAGUUUGCAGUGAGCUGAGAUCAUGCCACUGCAUUACAGCCAAAAAAUGAGAAGUAAGAGAAAGAGGAGAGGAAAAAAAAAAUAAAGAAGGAAAGAAAAUGGAAGAAAUAAAGAAAGAAAGGAAGAAGAGAAAAGAAAGAGAAAAAAGAAAUGAAAGGAAAAAGGAAAGGAGAAAAAGAAACAAAGAAAAGCUCCAGAAUCAAACACAUCUCACCAUGUGUAGGUCAGAUGAGUAGUAAAAAGGUUAGGCUACUAAAAAUUGUUUCGCUCAUGUCUUUAAAUCUCCACUUACAGUAAACUUCAGUUAUUGAUCUUUCCACUCAGGCUACUUCCCUAAGCACAGGAGCUCUAUUGCUCCAUGUGACUUUCAGGUUUCAUAUAAGAUGUGCAUCACCACAAGCAUUUAUAAUUAAUCACUAAUCCUAGUUGAUGUUUUAACAUCCCAUACCCUUGACUGUUAAAAGGAAAUCUUUUUUUGGAUGUGUGAAGAACUAAGUUUUUGGUUAUUAAUUUGGAGCAGGCUUCAUGAAGAAAAUAAUAGUAAUUAAAGAGUUAACAAAUAAAAAAAGGGUAUCGAUUAAAAUAUCCCAGAAGUUUGUAUUUAAUAAGUCUGAAAAUAUUUAAAAAAUCAGAUUGCUAUAAUAUUCAUAUUGUUUUGAUUUGCACACAAUGGAGCAAUACAAACAUGAAAUUUGAAAUUAGAAUGCCUACGCUUGAGCACUGGCUCUUCAUUAGUGUAUCAAUUAACUUCUCUGAAUCUCAGAGAUCUCUAAGGCUAAAUGAAAACAAUAAUUUAGUUUAUAGGUUUGUUGUGAUGCCCAAAUGAGUCGAGGUAUGCCAAAACAUUUUAUAAAAUGAAAAACAUUGUAUAUUAUCACCAUGG